AUCGCUUCUCGGCCUUUUGGCUAAGAUCAAGUGUGGAGAAACAUAAUGAACCCAAAUUAUAAAAGUAAUUACAAAAACGUAUGGGUAGAAAAAUGUCAGAGUAAGAAUUCCAAAAGUUCUUCCUUCUGUAAGAGCACA
RNAcentral lists this small nuclear RNA (138 nucleotides) under Marmota marmota marmota (Alpine marmot). RNAcentral's name for it is "U2 spliceosomal RNA". It matches the Rfam family "U2 spliceosomal RNA". Rfam says of the family: U2 is a small nuclear RNA (snRNA) component of the spliceosome (involved in pre-mRNA splicing). Complementary binding between U2 snRNA (in an area lying towards the 5' end but 3' to hairpin I) and the branchpoint sequence (BPS) of the intron results the bulging out of an unpaired adenosine, on the BPS, which initiates a nucleophilic attack at the intronic 5' splice site, thus starting the first of two transesterification reactions that mediate splicing. Lineage: Eukaryota; Metazoa; Chordata; Mammalia; Rodentia; Sciuridae. The record is from Rfam by way of RNAcentral. RNAcentral also lists the same sequence under 1 other name.